UACUAGAGUAGCACUCGCAUAUCAAUAAGCGGAGGAAAAGAUACUAACAAGGAUUCCCCUAGUAACGGCGAGUGAAGCGGGAAGAGCUCAAAUUUUGAAAUCUUAAGGGGUUUCCCUUUACGAAUUGUAGUUUAAAGAAGUGUUUUCUGUUGAGGUUUUGGUAAAAGUUCUUUGGAAUAGGACAACAUAGAGGGUGAGAAUCCCGUAUUUGACCUUUACUUUCAACUUUGUGAUACACUUUCAAAGAGUCGGAUUGUUUGGGAAUGCAGUCCAAAAUGGGUGGUAAAUUUCAUCUAAAGCUAAAUAUUGGCGAGAGACCGAUAGCGAACAAGUACCGUGAGGGAAAGAUGAAAAGAACUUUGAAAAGAGAGUUAAACAGUACGUGAAAUUGUCAAAAGGGAAGCGUUUGACACCAGUGUUGUUUUUCUGAAAAUCAAUUAAAGAACUGUUUAUGCUAAGUUGUUUAGACUUUAUCAGCUAACUGUUUAGUUUUGAGCUUUUCUUUAAUGCACUUUUCAGUUAACAAGUCAACAUCAAUUUCUUUUGCUGUAAAAAAGCUUGAGGAAGGUGGCUUGAGAUUCGUCUUAAGUGUUUAUAGCCUCUUGCCUAUGCAGUCGGAGAGAUUGAGGUCUGCAGCGUAGAUCCUUCGGGGCUAAAUGCAUUUGUGCUAAGUUAUAGCAUUUUAUAGACAACUUGUUGACUAUGAUUUGUCUUGUAGCUUACUCGCUUAUGUUAUUUUACCUACGCUUAGGAUGUUGAACUCUAUCACACACAG
Molecule: ribosomal RNA, 775 nt
Filed under: uncultured Neocallimastigales
Lineage: Eukaryota; Fungi; Neocallimastigomycota; Neocallimastigomycetes; Neocallimastigales
Description: partial large subunit ribosomal RNA
Rfam family: Eukaryotic large subunit ribosomal RNA
Source: RNAcentral